GGGGAUGAUCCGGUUUCGACGGGGAUGUCGGAUGACGGAUAAGCGAGCCGCAGGCCCUGUACUGCGUAUCAACGGGGAAAAACAAUAACUGACAAUAGCAAUUACGCUUUCGCGGCUUAAUGCCGCGCGUCGGCCCUGACCGCCUGCGGAUCAGGCAACCGGCGUCAUGAUCGCAGGGAACGAGUUAAGCCUAAGCUUUGCAGCUUAAUCCGUAAUUAUGAAGCUACCUGUCCGGCAGUCUGUCCGCGGACGGCCGGAACGGGGAAAUCAAAUCACGGAAUGCGCUCGGAGAAAGUCCUUCGGAUGAAUCUUCGGACAGGGGUUCAACUCCCCUCAUCUCCACUU
Molecule: transfer-messenger RNA, 345 nt
Filed under: Clostridiales bacterium
Lineage: Bacteria; Bacillati; Bacillota; Clostridia; Eubacteriales
Also listed under: 1 other name
Rfam family: transfer-messenger RNA
About the family: Bacterial tmRNA, also known as 10Sa RNA or SsrA, is named for its dual tRNA and mRNA-like properties. Its role is to liberate the mRNA from a stalled ribosome. To accomplish this part of the tmRNA is used as a reading frame that ends in a translation stop signal.
Source: RNAcentral